Molecule: ribosomal RNA, 644 nt
Filed under: uncultured bacterium
Lineage: Bacteria
Description: bacterial SSU rRNA
Rfam family: Bacterial small subunit ribosomal RNA
Source: RNAcentral
AGAGUUUGAUCCUGGCUCAGGGCGAACGCUGGCGGUGUGCUUCACACAUGCAAGUCGAACGAGGUAGCAAUACCUAGUGGCGGACGGGUGAGUAACGCGUGGGAAUCUGCCUUUAGAUGGGGGAUAACGAGCCGAAAGGUUCGCUAAUACCGCAUAUGCCGCAAGGUGAAAGGAGUAAUCCGUCUAAAGAUGAGCCCGCGUCCGAUUAGCUAGUUGGUGGGGUAAAGGCCUACCAAGGCGACGAUCGGUAGCUGGUCUGAGAGGAUGAUCAGCCACAAUGGGACUGAGACACGGCCCAUACUCCUACGGGAGGCAGCAGUGGGGAAUUUUACGCAAUGGGGGAAACCCUGACGUAGCGACACCGCGUGAGCGAAGAAGCCCCUUGGGGUGUAAAGCUCUGUCAGCUGGAACGAAACAAAUGACGGUACCAGCAGAGGAAGCAUCGGCUAACUACGUGCCAGCAGCCGCGGUAAGACGUAGGAUGCGAGCGUUGUCCGGAUUUAUUGGGCGUAAAGAGUUCGUAGGUGGUUUGUUAAGUUUGAUGUUAAAGAUCGGGGCUCAACCUCGGGACAGCAUUGAAUACUGGCAGACUUGAGUAUGGUAGAGGCUAGUGGAAUUCCCAGUGUAGCGGUGAAAUGCGUAGA